Molecule: ribosomal RNA, 431 nt
Filed under: Salmonella enterica subsp. enterica serovar Oslo
Lineage: Bacteria; Pseudomonadati; Pseudomonadota; Gammaproteobacteria; Enterobacterales; Enterobacteriaceae
Description: partial 23S ribosomal RNA
Rfam family: Bacterial large subunit ribosomal RNA
Source: RNAcentral
CCCGUACACAAAAGCGCAUGUGUUGUGAGCUCGAUGAGUAGGGCGGGACACGUGGUAUCCUGUCUGAAUAUGGGGGGACCAUCCUCCAAGGCUAAAUACUCCUGACUGACCGAUAGUGAACCAGUACCGUGAGGGAAAGGCGAAAAGAACCCCGGCGAGGGGAGUGAAAAAGAACCUGAAACCGUGUACGUACAAGCAGUGGGAGCACCCUUUUGGGUGUGACUGCGUACCUUUUGUAUAGUGGGUCAGCGACUUAUAUUCUGUAGCAAGGUUAACCGUAUAGGGGAGCCGUAGGGAAACCGAGUCUUAACCGGGCGUUAAGUUGCAGGGUAUAGACCCGAAACCCGGUGAUCUAGCCAUGGGCAGGUUGAAGGUUGGGUAACACUAACUGGAGGACCGAACCGACUAAUGUUGAAAAAUUAGCGGAUGAC